This 253-nucleotide ribosomal RNA is filed under the name uncultured bacterium. Its description in RNAcentral is "partial 16S ribosomal RNA". It matches the Rfam family "Bacterial small subunit ribosomal RNA", at positions 524 to 776 of the family's 1533-position model. The record is from RNAcentral.
UACGUAGGGGGCAAGCGUUGUCCGGAUUUAUUGGGCGUAAAGCGCUCGCAGGUGGUUCGUCACGUCGUGCGUGAAAGACCCCGGCUCAACUGGGGGAGGUCGUGCGAUACGGGCGAACUGGAGGCCAGUAGGGGGAUGCGGAAUUCCGGGUGUAGUGGUGGAAUGCGUAGAGAUCCGGAGGAACACCAGCGGCGAAGGCGGCAUCCUGGACUGGUCCUGACACUCAUGAGCGAAAGCGUGGGGAGCGAUCCGG